GACAGAGGAUGCAAGCGUUAUCCGGAAUGAUUGGGCGUAAAGCGUCUGUAGGUGGCUUUUUAAGUCUGCCGUCAAAUCCCAGGGCUUAACCCUGGACAGGCGGUGGAAACUACCAAGCUGGAGUACGGUAGGGGCAGGGGGAAUUUCCGGUGGAGCGGUGAAAUGCGUAGAGAUCGGAAAGAACACCAACGGCGAAAGCACACUGCUGGGCCGACACUGACACUGAGAGACGAAAGCUAGGGGAGCGAAUGGG
This 253-nucleotide ribosomal RNA is filed under the name uncultured bacterium. Its description in RNAcentral is "partial 16S ribosomal RNA". It matches the Rfam family "Bacterial small subunit ribosomal RNA", at positions 524 to 776 of the family's 1533-position model. The record is from RNAcentral.